Non-coding RNA from Dipodomys ordii (Ord's kangaroo rat), 65 nucleotides. Lineage: Eukaryota; Metazoa; Chordata; Mammalia; Rodentia; Heteromyidae. The record is from Rfam.
GGUGACUCAGUAGUAGAGUGCUUGCCUUGUAAGCAUGAGGCCCUGGGUUCAACCCCUCAGCACCA